CCUAGCUCAGUUGGUAGAGCAUGGUGUUUGCAACGCCAGGGUUGUGGGUUCGAUUCCCACGG
This 62-nucleotide transfer RNA is filed under the name Salmo salar (Atlantic salmon). It matches the Rfam family "tRNA", at positions 6 to 65 of the family's 71-position model. From Rfam's summary of the family: Transfer RNA (tRNA) molecules are approximately 80 nucleotides in length. Their secondary structure includes four short double-helical elements and three loops (D, anti-codon, and T loops). Lineage: Eukaryota; Metazoa; Chordata; Actinopteri; Salmoniformes; Salmonidae. The record is from Rfam by way of RNAcentral.